AGGGUAUUCCUGCACAACCGGAGGCUACAGUUACAGGACCGCAAUUCUGUGACCGCAGCUUUAGGACCCUAGUAUUUUUGUAACAGCGCCACCUACUGUACUGAAUCAACACUAAUUAAAGAUGGACGACGUGGACAGCAACCAGACGAGUUGAAGCCUACAGCCAUUCUAUCCAUGCAGCAACUGAUGGAAAAGGGGUUCACUUUGGUGCUGUUGUGAUGUUGUCACAAAAAUGACAUGUAAAUUCUGUACAGACCAAGAGUUUGGACACACCUUCUCAUUCAAAGAGUUUUCUUUAUUUUCAUGACUAUGAAAAUUGUAGAUUCACACUGAAGGCAUCAAAACUAUGAAUUAACACAUGUGGAAUUAUAUAUGGAAUUAUAUACAUAACAAAAAAGUGUGAAACAACUGAAAAUAUGUCAUAUUCUAGGUUUUUCAAAGUAGCCACCUUUUGCUUUGAUUACUGCUUUGCACACUCUUGGCCUUCUCUUGAUGAGCUUCAUGAGGUGGUCACCUGAAAUGGUCUUCCAACAGUCUUGAAGGAGUUCCCUGAGAGAUGCUUAGCACUUGUUGGCCCUUUUGCCUUCUGUCUGCGGUCCAGCUCACCCCUAAACCAUCUGGACUGGGUUCAGGUCCAGUGACUGUGGAGGCCAUGUCAUCUGGCACAGCACGCCAUCACUCUCCUUCUUGAUCAAAUAGCCCUUGAUGCCUUCAGUGUGACUCUAUAAUAUGUAUAUAAAUAAACAUUCUUGAAUCA
Long non-coding RNA from Carassius gibelio (silver crucian carp), 757 nucleotides. RefSeq lists it as uncharacterized. The record is from RefSeq and is a predicted model, not a curated record. The transcript has 2 exons. NCBI's taxonomy places the organism in Eukaryota, Metazoa, Chordata, Actinopteri, Cypriniformes, Cyprinidae.